Molecule: unclassified non-coding RNA, 298 nt
Filed under: fungal sp.
Lineage: Eukaryota; Fungi
Description: partial internal transcribed spacer region
Rfam family: Eukaryotic small subunit ribosomal RNA (bases 1-46)
Source: RNAcentral
AAGUCGUAACAAGGUUUCCGUAGGUGAACCUGCGGAAGGAUCAUUAACACGUUCCUACGUAUCCACCCACCGUGCAUUCUAUGUGAGGAGAUGAUCGAUCGAGCAAUUGAUCAAUCGUCCCCUCACGUUCAGAGGGAGGAAUUCGAGAUCACUCUCGUCUGCUUCUCUCUGUUCACACACGUAUUCUCCCCUUGAUACCCUAUAAGUUGUUGAGAAGUAUGAGAGAUUAAUCUCCCUCGUCUUCUAUUGAUUUAUUUCAAUCCACAUACAACUCUUAGCAAUGGAUAUCUUGGUUCUC